AAUCAAGUUGUUCUUGUUUGUUAUGAAGGCUUUUUCUUUCCCCUUUAUUUGAUUGAAGAAUUUUCAUUUUGCAAAUAACACCUCUCUUACUUUUUUAGGCACUUGGUUCAGUUUCUUUUAAGGGCACGGUUAACUCUCUGAGUCUUUUUGAUAAAAGUAGGUGUUGUAUUUUUCGUUUGAAAAAUAAAUAAAAGGUCAGUUAAAAUAAAAAAGAAUUUUCAUUUUGCUGAUAAUAUCAUUUCAUUUCGAAACCAAUGUAAGUGAUUAACUAUCAAAGAGCAAGGAUGAAAUACUUAACGUCAUAAAAAAAGAUGAUAGGUUGUUAUAAGCUCAAGCUAGAAGUUGUAUAGACAAUUCAAACUACACAAAAGCCUUGUAAGAAAAAUAAAAUAUUGGGCAGCAAAGAUUAUUGCCCUUUUAUAACUUUGUGAGAGAGAGAUAGCAAAUUAACGAUAGCUAGACCCUGAUCCGCGCGCCAGCGCGGGUAUGAAAUUUCGGUUUUUGGUUAUUUAUUUAACUAAAUGAUGUAUUAUAUUCACCAAGUAAAUAAUUUUUUGGCAUUUUACUACUGACUGAAGGCUUUUCUCACCACUGACUGAGGAGGAGGACCUUGUUCAUCAUCUCUUUCUCUCUCUUCCAGGUCAUCGAUUUUGAACUACCCAUUACAGUUCAGCUUAAAAUAGUUGACGUUGAUCCUGGUCUCCGAGGUGACACUGCACAAGGUGGAACUAAACCUGCCACACUCGAGACUGGUGCAGUUGUCAAUGUACCCCUCUUUGUCAAUGUUGGUGAAGAUAUUAUGGUGGACACGAGAACCGGUACGUAUGAGCCGGGUCUGACACUUCUUCCCUAUUGCUAACGACUAAGGAAUGUGAUAUUUAAUGAGCGGUUUUGCUUAUAGAGUACUCUGAUUAGUUGAGUGAACGCCCAUAAUUGCUACUAUUGGUUUCCCUAAUAAUGAUUCUGUAUUAUUUUAAGAUACAUACGUUUCUCCGGGCCACCGUGUUUGAGUGUGCGCACUGAGUGACAAAUGAAUUAAGUGAAUUUAAAUUAGGUGACAAAACAUAUAAUUAAAACUGAAUGUGUAAGCUUUUUGGGAGUACAUAUAUGGUAACGAUAUAGUGUGUGAAUUGAGUGAAGACUGUUCUUACAACUCAAGCUGAGAAGGCUGAGUGUUGGGAUGGUUAUCAAGAGGCAUGUAUUGCGCCAUUAUCGCUCUUAUCUCUGAGUCCAUGUACGUCUGCAGCACAUGAUUAAUUAAUAGUUAAGAAAACCCCACAAUCAAAGUCCAGCCAAAAUAUUGAACAAGUAUUGUCUUUGAGAAGCAGACCCGGAUUCUGUAUUUGUAAUCAGUGUAAGCUCCCAAAGCAGCUGCUCCCAGUCCCAUUAUUAUUAUCCAUAUCACUCCCCAUCUUACAUCUCCUCUUGCAUCCUUACCUGUGUCGUCAGUUACAAUGCAGUUUAUACUCUUUUUUUUUAUCUAGAUGGAUCGAUCGACUAUUGUUUCCAAUAAUAAAACGAUGAAUGAUGUGUAAAAUAUACUUAUGCAAAUGUCAUGCUCUCUGAUGUAAAGCAAGCUUCCGCUGCAUCAUAGCUUCCCCAUGUGUUCUUGCAUUUGCAGCCGCGACACUGGCACACUGUUUUCUCUUCACACUAGUUAACAUCUGCGUUGUACACAUCAACAAGUAAAUUUUUUUUUUCAAUCUCAAGCUCUAACUAUAAUAUUUCAUAGAUAUAAUACCUGUGCAGUUUUUGAGCCCAUCACCGCUGAAUCCAGGUGGACAUAUGCAGCCUUUCAAAUGAUCAUCCAGACAACAACAAAAAAAGCAAGGAAAGAACGAUAAGUCAUGUUUAUAUAUAAAGAGAGGUUCUGUCAUGUCAAAACAGAGGAUGGAAGUCAGUUAGUUAGCUGGAGUAUGUCAUCAUAUUACACGGCAAGCCGAAUAUGCAUGUUCUUCCCAUUUGAGUAUGUUUCCAGCAUCCUCCAUUGUUUAUUACACAGUGCAAUGGCCCCUGACGCUGCCUUAUCCAAAAUUUAAACAUGUAAAAAGAAAAUUCAUCAUUUAUGAAUCAUAACAUGCAUAUAGUAAUUGAGCUUCUGUUUUUCAUUUCUUCACAAUGUGUGUAACCGUCCCCCAAAAACUUGACACCUUGAACAAUGGGACAUUGACACACUCUUCCUCUGAAAGUGUCCUGCAACACUUCAACAUUGAUGCUCCUUUUAAUGAAAGUUGUGUAACAUAACAUUCUAGCAAAAAUAAGAAUGGUUUUUUUUUUCUUCUUUUUAAGAUCUGACGCACCCUGCAAGCUGUAAUAUUGGUUCUCUUAUCAACCCAACAACCUCCAUUGUUUUGUAAACACUCAUUGGUUUCUAUAUCUGCCCAAACAAAGAAUCCAGAACAUGACGUUAGAAAGUAGUAUUGGAUAUAUAUCACUAUUUGCCUCUCUUUGAUGUUAUUUCUUUCUCCUUUAUCUCUAGAAACUGACUCGGUGGCUAAAUCAGCUCUCUCUUUGAUCUAUCAAAAGCUAGAGAAGUUGGGGAUAGUUGCCCGUGACACCAUUGGAAGGUACUACUGCAUGGGGCUGAAGCGAGCCAACGGGAUCAUAGGGACCACCACCGAGGAGCUUGUCCUUAAGGCCAAACAGGGCGUCACCCCUUCUUGAACUCUUACUACCUUCUCUUCCCUUCUUUAACAUUUGUCCUCUACUCAUUUCACUAAAACUCUAACUGUCAAAUGUUUUGUUGGUUGUUUACAACAAAUCAAUUCACCGAAAAUAAUUGUCUGAUAUGAACGCAUGCAACAUACAAUAUUGAACUAUAUUGAUACGGGGCAAGCCUGAAGAAUUUUCAAGGAAGACCUACAAAAUGCCUCUAUUCCCAGCUAUCGUUGUCAGGUUGCCACUUUCUUUCUAUUAAUUUUCUUUUCACAUCGGUGCUUCGAGAAGCUCUUUACCCUGUGGCUUGUCAGUUAACAUAAAGAGAGCAGAAAGAGGUCUUUCUCAACUCAAGCUUCGUCUUUUCAAUCCAUCAGCCUUACCCUUGUGAGGCAUUUUGAGAGAUCCAAUCUUCGACCCCUUAUCAUUGGACGUGCUUUUAUUGCAGAUAGAGGUUGUCUAAAUAGUGUCUGAUGGAUCAAGUUUGAGUACCCUGAGGGAAGUUAGAGGCAGAGAAAGCCGAGAAACGAAAACAACAUACAGAAGCAUCAUGAACUUGAACUAGUCAUAUAUAUUAUUUUUGAUCAACUAAGUAGUCAUAUAUAUAUAAUCAACUUUGUUUGUAACUUUUAAUACACUUGUUUAAUUGUUUGUAUACUGACUGAAACUGAUCAAUAAAAGGUCAACGCUUUUUAUUACCUUUGGCGCCGCAUGACGGUGUUGUUUUGUGUCUUUGUUGAUUUUAAUAAGUAAUAAACGAUGCCGUUUUACAUAGAAUGAUCAACGUGAAACGUUAUCCAAAGCAACGGUCUGGCAACGGCUAAUUCUGUUUCAGUUAAAAGAUUCUCGAAGAUAUUCUUUAUAACUUCUCUUCCUUCUCUUUCAAAAUUUGAAUCACUCUUAUUUUCUGAUCUUUGAGAAACAGCAGAGAGAGAAAAAAUAAUAAGAACAAGAAAAGGGGGGGGGGGAGAGAGAGAGAGAGAGAGAGAGAGGAGCCGUUGCUUGCGAAUCAAUCAUUCUUUGGGUAAUACAUCUUCUUCUUCUUUCUCAUAAUUCUUAGGGUUUAUUUGCUUUCCACCAUCGUUGAACCCUCUUUCAUCUAUCUGUUAUAGUUCUCUUCCCGGAGAACAGACACGAAGAACGACACAGAGUCAGAGCACGACGUCCAGAAAGGCGAUCUCCAUCAAGAAACCCUCUCUGGUCUCUUCGCAGAGAUCGAAACCAUCAAAAUCCUAAUCGAAUAGAUCACUAAUCCCUUACACGAUCUCACAAUCAUCUCCUCUCGUUAUUGCAACAUGGUUGAGUCAUAGAAGACAAAGACUACAACCCCACGAAACCCUAGUUCCCACCAAUCAUCUUCGUCUUCGUGCCUAACAGAGAAGAACAACACAAGCCGCAAGUGACGUGCCGUGCCUUGCCGCGCAAGAAGGAAAGCGUAGUUUCAAGAAAGCAAAGGCGUCACCUUUAUUCACAUGGGAGUGGAAAAAUACGCCGGAUUGGAUUAGUCCAGUUGAUGAGUAACAUAAAAGAAGCGCAAGACCCAAAGCUAAUCUUCGAGAAGACUCUGUUCGAAACAGAUGUCAGACCAAGCCAGAGCCCUCUCUCAAUCCCUUUCCACGAACUGAUCUGAAACGACUUCUUGACACCCGUUGAGUCAGAGAAUCACAUCAACAGCAAAUAAAAGAUGGGUUUGGAGUGAUUCUUGUUGAUCAAGGCACUAAGAAGCGGGGUGCGUUUCUCUAGAGAUGGGAGAUGAACGGUCCUUGGAACUAUGCUUUGGUUUGUGGGUGGAACGAUGUCGUGAAGGCUAAUGGAUUGAAAGAUGGAGACAACAUUAGUCUUUGGUCUUUCAGGUGCCGAGGAGUCCUCUGUUUUGCCCUUGUUCCCCUCUCUUUUACAGGAAUGGACUGAGGGGAAUGAGGAUGGUUCCCUACUUGAAGCAAUCUACGAGCCCUUGAUGAGGUAAUAACAACCGUUAGAAGCUAGGCAAGAGUAGUGGAAAAGAACUGAAUCAUACAAAUAUGAUACAGGUUCCAAAACUAGCUGAAUGUGAGACAUAUAUUAUCUUAAAAUGGGUUACCUAUGGAACUUUUCAGGCACGGAAGAAAGAUGGAGGUACUAUUUUCUCUCUUUCUCUCUCUGCGAUUUAUCAAAGAGCAGAAAUAAGAAUGAUUCAAAAUUUGAAAGAGAACGAAGAAAAGAGGAGAGAGAGAGAAAAUAGCGAAGUUGAUUGAUCAGAGAGGAGCCGUUCUUUGCGAGGCAAGCAUUCUUUGGUUCUUUCCGGAGAACAGACACGGUGACUCUGCUUUUACAAACGUAAUCUCCUUUACUUGGUUAUAUUCUCUUCUACAUGCUCUCUCUCUCUCGUUAAAGCAAAAUCCGCCAUGGAAGAGGUACUCGGUCAUUCGUUUAUGUCCUCGCACUUGUAAUUUAUGUUUUAUGGAUCCAUGAUCUCUUGAUUGAUAUGUGUUAUUGCUUUGUUUUCUUGAUGAUAAAUAUACUUCUUUCGCUGAUGAAUCGGAGGCCGACGACGAUAUCGUACAAUCAAAGAAAUCAAUUAUUCUCGGAUGGAAAUAAUUGGGCCAGCUCACUCAACAGUCGGAUGGAUAAUAAAUACCGGCUCAGCUAUUCUCAUUUUGGUAAUACUAAAUGGGCCCAAGGUACUUAACUAGUCCACUUAGUAUGUAGUGAAUCGGUAAGCUUUUAAAACAAUGGGCCUCCGUUACUCUGCUUUUAUAUUUAUCAAAGACAAUAUUAGGCCAGGGCCCAAUAUACUAUUCGGAUCUACGUUUACAUUUAUUCAGCCUAGUUAUUUCUUUUAUAAGGAAUUAGUUAUUUUUCCUUAACCCUUAAAAUAAGAGAUUAUUCAGUAGUGGAGAUUAGUUAUUCGGCAAAGAGAUUAGGAGUAUUGGGGGUUUAUGGGUAUUUGGGAUUAUGGGUAUUGGGGGUUUAAGGGAUUGUAGUAUAGGGGUAUAUGGGAAUAGAGUGCAUGGGAUAAAUGGUAUAUGGGAUUAGGGGUAUUAGGCAUUAUGGAUAUACAUAAGAUUAUGGGUAUUUGAAAUUAAGAGUUAUAAAAGAUCAUAGGUAUUUGAUAUUAAAGGCUAUAUGGGAUUAAGGGUAUAUAAUAGAUUAGGAGUAUAGGAUUAAGGGUAUAUGGAAAUUAUAAGAAUUAGAUAUUAGGGGUAUUUAAGAUUAAUGAGAAUUUCAAACUAGGGGUAUUUGAGAUUAGGGUUAUAUGGGAUUAAGGGGUAUAUGAAAUUAAGAUAUAUUUGAAAUUAAAGGGUAUUUGGGAUUAAAAUGUAUUUGAGAUUAAGGGAUAAUUGAGAUUAAUGGUAUUUGAUAUAAAAGGUAUUUAAGAUUAGGGUUUAUACCCUUAAUCUAAUAUACCCAUUAAUCUCAAAUAUCCCUAAUCUCAAAUACCCUUAAUCUCAAAUACCCCUUAAUCUCAUAUAUUCCUUAAUCUCAAGUACCCUAAACCCUAAACCCUAGAUCACACGACUUGAGGCAAAAACAUCAACACUACUAAUUUACUAGUAAAAUAUUAUUAUCUCAUCCCUUUCAUGUAUCAACAUAUUUUGUAAAUGUCACAAGUGCAUAUGUGAUAAGCUUCAAUUUAGAUACACUAUUCUAGGUACAUUAGCCCGUAUGAUUUUUUUUAAAACCGACUGUUAAACAUUUUCAAUACUUUAAAAUUCAUUUAGCCCACUGAAACAAUAUUGUUUAAAUAAAGGUCCAAAUAACUAACUGAUUUAAUAUUAUAGAUUAAGUAUAAUUAAAAUACACAAGAAAGUAUUUCGUUUUGGGCUCCUGAGGCCUUCCUGAGGCCCAUAUACAUCU
Molecule: long non-coding RNA, 6492 nt
Organism: Brassica rapa (field mustard)
Lineage: Eukaryota; Viridiplantae; Streptophyta; Magnoliopsida; Brassicales; Brassicaceae
Source: RefSeq, a predicted model, not a curated record